UNUGGAAACUGUCUGACUUGAGUGCAGAAGGGGAGAGUGGAAUUCCAUGUGUAGCGGUGAAAUGCGUAGAUAUAUGGAGGANCACCAGUGGCGAAAGCGGCUCUCUGGUCUGUCACUGACGCUGAGGCUCGAAAGCGUGGGUAGCGAACAGGAUUAGAUACCCUGGUAGUCCACGCCGUAAACGAUGAGUGCUAGGUGUUAGGCCCUUUCCGGGGCUUAGUGCCGGAGCUAACGCAAUAAGCACUCCGCCUGGGGAGUACGACCGCAAGGUUGAAACUCAAAGGAAUUGACGGGGGCCCGCACAAGCGGUGGAGCAUGUGGUUUAAUUCGAAGCAACGCGAAGAACCUUACCAGGUCUUGACAUCCCGAUGCUAUUCUUAGAGAUAGGAAGUUACUUCGGUACAUCGGAGACAGGUGGUGCAUGGUUGUCGUCAGCUCGUGUCGUGAGAUGUUGGGUUAAGUCCCGCAACGAGCGCAACCCUUAUUGUUAGUUGCCAUCAUUAAGUUGGGCACUCUAGCGAGACUGCCGGUAAUAAACCGGAGGAAGGUGGGGAUGACGUCAAAUCAUCAUGCCCCUUAUGACCUGGGCUACACACGUGCUACAAUGGUCGGUACAACGAGUUGUGAGCCGGUGACGGCAAGCUAAUCUCUGAAAGCCGAUCUCAGUUCGGAUUGGAGGCUGCAACUCGCCUCCAUGAAGUCGGAAUCGCUAGUAAUCGCGGAUCAGCACGCCGCGGUGAAUACGUUCCCGGGCCUUGUACACACCGCCCGUCACACCACGAGAGUUUGUAACACCCGAAGUCGGUGAGGUAACCUUUUAGGGGCCAGCCG
RNAcentral lists this ribosomal RNA (831 nucleotides) under uncultured bacterium. Its description in RNAcentral is "bacterial SSU rRNA". It matches the Rfam family "Bacterial small subunit ribosomal RNA", at positions 625 to 1455 of the family's 1533-position model. The record is from RNAcentral.